RNAcentral lists this long non-coding RNA (420 nucleotides) under Mustela putorius furo (domestic ferret). RNAcentral's name for it is "lncRNA (ENSMPUG00000025128.1)". The record is from RNAcentral. Lineage: Eukaryota; Metazoa; Chordata; Mammalia; Carnivora; Mustelidae.
CAUGACUAUGAAACUACCUGGAGGGGUGUCCACAGACAGUAAAUAUUUGUCAUCUUUAUUUGACAGAGAGGAGCAGCUUGGAAUGUUUCCCCGGACUGUGCACCUCGACACGGCAGUGAGAUUUCCACGGGUCAUUCCCGGGCUCUGCGAAGAGUUCACAGCAGGAGUUAUUAAGCUGCAUGAAAUGAUGAGUAGAAGUCUGGAACCCUCAUCUUUUGGAUAAAAUGCUUCCAUUUCUCUAACUCCUGAAAGUUUUCACUAUCACUGAAGCAAAAUGGGUUCUCACAAUCCCUGAAACAGACAAGCCUGUGGGGGAGUACCCUUUGAUGGCCUGACAUUGGCAUUUUUGUGCUGAACAAGCUUCCUGGUCGUUAUGUCACCAAAAUAAAUAAAUAAAUAAAUAAAAUUGAAAACCUCUAU